This 431-nucleotide ribosomal RNA is filed under the name uncultured bacterium. Its description in RNAcentral is "partial 16S ribosomal RNA". It matches the Rfam family "Bacterial small subunit ribosomal RNA", at positions 29 to 507 of the family's 1533-position model. The record is from RNAcentral.
AACGAACGCUGGCGGCAGGCUUAACACAUGCAAGUCGAACGCCCCGCAAGGGGAGUGGCAGACGGGUGAGUAACGCGUGGGAACAUACCCUUUUCUACGGAAUAGCUCUGGGAAACUGGAAUUAAUACCGUAUACGCCCUACGGGGGAAAGAUUUAUCGGGGAAGGAUUGGCCCGCGUUGGAUUAGCUAGUUGGUGGGGUAAAGGCCUACCAAGGCGACGAUCCAUAGCUGGUCUGAGAGGAUGAUCAGCCACAUUGGGACUGAGACACGGCCCAAACUCCUACGGGAGGCAGCAGUGGGGAAUAUUGGACAAUGGGCGCAAGCCUAAUCCAGCCAUGCCGCGUGAGUGAUGAAGGCCUUAGGGUUGUAAAGCUCUUUCACCGAUGAAGAUAAUGACGGUAGUCGGAGAAGAAGCCCCGGCUAACUUCGUG